AACACCUGUGGGAGAAAACGGCAGUUAAGAAAAGUUGUGGCUUCACGUUAAACGGUCAGUAUUUGUAGAGCGUUUUUCGGAAUAUUUUACCACGUUGAAAUACCGGUGCGGUGACAACGGGUUAACUAAACGCUAAAGUAAAUUUCGUGUUAAUUACGUAUUUUCCGACGUUGUGGCAGCUCCAUUUGUCGCUGCAGCACGGACCACGUAACGUUAAUAUUACUUGGUAAUAUUAAUAUUACUAAUCUAUUACUUGGUUAAUGAAAUGCAAAAGAAAAAACCAAAUGGACCGCUUGUGCAACAGAAGAUGGACAUGACGUUUGUACUGAGAAGAAAUGAUGUGGUGGAUCGAGUCUCAGCCGGCUAUAAGGAAAAUGGUGGAAGGAGGGCCUGCUCUUUUACAGGAAGAUCAGGUGUGCGUUGAAUUUAACAUGAUUGUGGGCAAGCACCUCAAGCAGGAAUUUUAUGAAAGUCUUGAUCAGCACAGUCCUCGUCUUAUUGAUAUAUUUGGAUCCAAGAGAGGGAACGUUGGGCAGCUGUUGACAAAGCUUUCACAACAGAUCAGGGUUGGGCCAUACUCAUUAUUCAUGUGAAUUACUUGUUCUGCUUAUGUAAUCACAAUAUUCCAUAGAAACUGUGCUUGGUUGGUCCAGCUUUCUUAUAGACCAUUCAUUUAUUGUAAUACCUAUCUAAAGUGUUUUGCCCUCAAAAGACUACAGAACAGACAGACAGCUUUGUAAGUAACCUCUUACUUUUUUAAAGGGCUAUCUAAAGCAGGGUUAUUCAACUCACAGUCCUCGAGGUCCGAGCACUGCUGGUUUCCCAGCCUUCCCUUACCUGUCAGUCAAGUGUGAAGCCUCUGACCAAUCAGAAUCAGUAAUUAUUAAACAACUACCUGGGGGAACUAAAAACACGGUCUGGAUUUGGAAUCGAGGUCCAGAGUUGAAGAACCCUGAUCUAAAGGGACCAAAUCUUUCAUUUUUGCCAUUAUUAGUUUUUUUUUUUUUUUGAUAAACCCUGUGAGCAUAGUUGUAUACAAGUAAAAGAGUAAGAUACUGUUCUACUUAUCAGUAGGACAAUCCACUGGUCCAUCUAGUUUCUGUGAUAACCAGUCCACACCUUUCAUCGCUUGUCUGUCUCACUGACUGUGCUACAUUACUUUGCAUUGUUGAUGGGUUAUUUUAUGUGAAAUAUCAUCAUUGUGCUCUUAUGUUUAUUUUAAUAAGGAUUCUGAUGAUGACAACCACAUUGACUUUGGGAUCCUCCUCAUUGAGCAUGAAAGUCCUGUACUGACCUUGCUUGCCAAAGCAGGAAAGAUGUUGUUUUGGUAUUUGCUCAUGUUUUUAAGUUGGAUAAAACAACAAAAAAUCUUCA
This is a long non-coding RNA of Paramormyrops kingsleyae, 1374 nucleotides long. RefSeq lists it as uncharacterized. The record is from RefSeq and is a predicted model, not a curated record. Lineage: Eukaryota; Metazoa; Chordata; Actinopteri; Osteoglossiformes; Mormyridae.